RNAcentral lists this long non-coding RNA (432 nucleotides) under Fukomys damarensis (Damara mole-rat). Its description in RNAcentral is "lncRNA (ENSFDAG00000027450.1)". Lineage: Eukaryota; Metazoa; Chordata; Mammalia; Rodentia; Bathyergidae. The record is from RNAcentral.
CCUGAUUAUCAGAAGAUGCAGUUUCUCUGGUUCCUGAAAUACUGUGGUGGUUUUUAGUUUAGUCAUUAGAAAGCCGGUGUUAUACUGUAGCUCCCCAAAACCCAGCAGAGAAUCAUAAACAGGGCUGGUGCUGGGUGGAGAGGAGGAAAGAUUAGUCACUUUGCUUCCUGGUCUGUCAUGCAGCCUUGUCCUGCUGGUGGGGCGGCUUGCAAGGCCAUGGCGUAAUUAAGGGGCUUGAGUCCGCAAGAAAGAUCCAAGAAGGAAACAGGAUGCGUGGAGUAGGAUGCAGGCCCGGCCCAGCCGGCUCUGCACGCCCUGGCAGGCGGAGGUGGCCUUCAGCCUCUGUGUGGUUAAGCAGUGUGAUUCUCCCUGGUGAAUGGAAUGGGAAGAAAAAAAUGCUCAUUGAGAAGUGCGUAUUUAGCGGAGCCCAGG